AGAGAGAGGCAGCUGCUGGCUGUGAACUUCCUGCCACGGAUUGUGCCCUUAUCAGAGCUGUACAAGGUCUCUCAGAAGGAUCCCUGUGCAGCUCCGCCUUCUCGGUCCUUUUCUUCAUGGAAUCAAAGAAUCAGCCUUUUGAUGGAAGGAAGACAUACCACAGAGAUGCUGAAUGUGUGCCCCCCUCUGCACCCAAUAUAAGGUUCAGAGAUGCUUGAAGAUCUGGGUCAGGCUGAAUGUCUCUCCAUUUGUUCUCCAGAUGGGCUGCAGUUACCAGCCCCUUGGUGACUUGUGGGCAGAUCAAAAUCGAUCCUACAGCCCCAGUUGCUCUUGGUUUCCUUCUGAGUUCCUGGGCAGGUGUUGGUACUGAAAAAAUAUGUCACAAGUCAGAGCAGCAUAAUGCAGGGUGAAGUAGCCACAUACUGAAUUGAAAGAGAUACACACAAUCAAGUCCUCCAAGAUGACAAAAGGCAGCUCCAGUAUGCCACUGGGAGAAACUCAUUCUCACAGUCAACACCAGG
This 521-nucleotide long non-coding RNA is filed under the name Sus scrofa (pig). RNAcentral's name for it is "lncRNA (ENSSSCG00025066617.1)". The record is from RNAcentral. Lineage: Eukaryota; Metazoa; Chordata; Mammalia; Artiodactyla; Suidae.